GUAGGAUAGAAUUGCUUCGGCUCAGGCUACAUCCAAGUUGAGGUUGUUUGUGUCGAGUAUAACGCUUAUUUGUAGGACUGAUAACGUGUUUAGGUAGAUUGCGGUAUCUUGAAUAGUUGCUGCGAAAUCAAAGUCUUAUAUUCUACAAACAGCUAGCAAUGGCGGAUUUAAAUAUAAACUAAUAUCAACCAGGAUUUUUAUGCUGCAAGGCUUUUCCCUGACGAGUCUAUAAACUAAACCUAAUUGCCGGAGGACUACUCCAUAUUGGAAGAAUCUUGGCAAAUACAAGUAUCAUAUUUUGUAAUGGUU
RNAcentral lists this long non-coding RNA (309 nucleotides) under Polistes fuscatus (common paper wasp). RNAcentral's name for it is "uncharacterized LOC122525672". Lineage: Eukaryota; Metazoa; Arthropoda; Insecta; Hymenoptera; Vespidae. The record is from RNAcentral.